Molecule: transfer RNA, 183 nt
Filed under: Marmota monax (woodchuck)
Lineage: Eukaryota; Metazoa; Chordata; Mammalia; Rodentia; Sciuridae
Description: tRNA.Ser
Source: RNAcentral
GGAGUUGUGGCUCAGUGGUAGAGCACUUGCCUGGAUUUGAUCCUCAGCACCACAUAUAAAUAAUAAUAAUAAAAAGAUCCAUUUACAAUUAAAAAAAAAUUUUUUUAAAGAAAUUUAAAAAAAGAGCUGAGGAUGUGACUUAAUGAUCGAGUGUUACUGGGUUCAAUUCCCAGUACAACCCCU